This 780-nucleotide long non-coding RNA is filed under the name Gossypium raimondii (Peruvian cotton). RNAcentral describes it as "long non-coding RNA (GRAI_LNC000190)". Lineage: Eukaryota; Viridiplantae; Streptophyta; Magnoliopsida; Malvales; Malvaceae. The record is from RNAcentral.
AAUUCCCUCGAUGGUCCUGAAUAAGAGCACCCGCUCCAACUUUGUCUGGGUCACCUAAGGAUGAACUAUCUAUGCUAAGUUUAUAAAUGUUUUUGUAAUAGGCCAAUUUUGGCUUGGGCCCAAAUUACAAUCACAAAACUAAACCGAAAAUCAAAAUAAAAAUAAUUAAAUAAUCCAAAGUCCAAAUGUCCAUUUACAAACAGCCCAAAUUACUAAGCCCUUGACCCAAAAUAAAAAAAAACCCUAGUGGCCCAAUAUGGCAAAAAAAAAACUAAACAUUUUCAGCAAAAAAAAAAAGAGAGGCAGAAACCCUAGCCUCCAGCGCCGGACAUCAGCAUGCCCACUGUCGCUGCCUCCUCCACGUCAACCUCCGUACCUUUACGUCAGCACCUCCGUACACAGCUGGCCUACGACCCUCGUACCUGCAAAACAAACACACAACAACACAGAGGCAGUAAGAAUAGAAACAAAAAAACAUUAACAGUUGUAUUUUUUUCUUCGGCUAUAAAAGCCACUACAAGUUGUAAUUUUUUUUUACACAGCAAUCAAAACAGAAGAAAAAGAAAAAUUUUAAAGGUAGUUUUGGUGAUUCUGUUAUUUUCAUUUUUUUUGUUUGUUUUAUUUUAUUAUUAUUUUUAAAAAAAGGGAAAGAAAAGAAAAAAUAAAGAAGAAAAGUCGAAUAUUACCUAUUCUUUUGCUUUUGUGCCGCCAUGGGAGGCCGAAGUUCGUCGUUUCUAAUGAAAAAUGACAUUUUUUAGGCUCAGGGAGUUGAAAAGCCAA